RNAcentral lists this long non-coding RNA (2174 nucleotides) under Diabrotica virgifera virgifera (western corn rootworm). Its description in RNAcentral is "uncharacterized LOC126884586". Lineage: Eukaryota; Metazoa; Arthropoda; Insecta; Coleoptera; Chrysomelidae. The record is from RNAcentral.
UACUAUAUUAGCUCAAAAUCAGGACAAAAAACAAAUUCAAAUUAACAUUAUCCCGAUCAGUUGGACUUCCACAGUUCACUAAUAUACAAGUCACAGGCAUGUUGUCAGCACUCAAAAUCACCAAAAACGUAAAGUUUAUAAAAUAAUUAAUAUAAUGAAUGUCUUUAAAUACUAUACUACCUCAAAAUCACGACAAAAAACAAAUAAGAAAAAUCAAUAAUUACAUUGAGUUUAGGUUAAGAACAGUUUUGUGUGCCAACCAAAGAUCACGUGAUUUAACUUUGACAGGUCGAUGGAUUCCCUAAUGUGUGUUUAUUUAUGUGGCAAAAUUCCAGGCACCAUAAAAAUUUGAGUUUCUUCCUGUUGCCCAUGGAUGAAAAUCGGUUUGCAGAAUGAAAAGAAAUUGUUCAAUGUGAUAAACUUUCUAUGAACAGUCCUCAAUAUUGUUACAUUAACUUUUAAAUAUGCACUUUACAUCUUGAGGAGCAGGCCUUUGCAGAAAUACUGAAAAGCGGGUUGCAAAACAAUGCAAAAUAAAAUAAAUGAAAUAUGUCUUGAGAUUAAACAUUCAAGUUGAAGGUGUGUUCUUUCUUAAACUGGAAUGAUAAUUUUGUAAUUCUGUAUGCACAUCUAUUGAGAAGUUACAACCAGUGGCAAAGUGCCUUAAGGGAAUCUAUGACAUAUAUAAUUGAAGGGACAUCUCCUCUGAAGGAAUUACAAUUAUUUGCCAGUAUGUCAAAUGAAUUUUCAACAUCAGUCAUACUUUCAUGAAUUUAUUGAUGAAAAUAAAACUAGGUACAUGAUUUAUUAUUUACUUCCAACUGAUUCUAAGAUACUAUGUGUAAAAAGUCCAAUAUGCAGUGAUGAGCAUGCUAAUAACUGGCAAAAUAUGGGAUAUAACGCCAAAGAUGGGAAACAUGGGAUGCAUUCUGAAGUAAAAAGAGAUGAAACUGAGAGAAAUUAUCGAUAUAAACAUAUAAAUUAACAUUACAUUACAUAGUUUCCCACCUUUAGACGUAUCAGAUGAGUAUGAGAACUGUCACUGUGCCAGGAGAAUUUUAUAAAAUACUCCUGUCACAGAGAUCUAAAGGUGGGAAACUAUGUAAUGUUAUCGUCGGCUAAGAGUGUUAACCUGCUAACUCCAUUUUUCACUGUGAGUGAUAUUGGGGUAGUUUCUAGGUCUGUGUACCUUCAUACCAUGUCCCACAAGCCCGCUGGUUCCACUGUAGUUUAGAGAUAGCUAUUAUAAUAUAAUAAUAAUAAUAAUAGAGUUUAUUUGUAACAAUUAGUACAUAAUAAUAAACCCAAGUUCUCACUGAAGUUGUUAGUCACAUGGACUACAACUUGUGCGUGAGGGUUAAAUUUUGAUUAUAAAACAACAUUAAUUUAUCUUAGUUUACAAAAAGGUAUUAAAUAGUCUUUUUCACUCAUCUGUCUUCAAAUUUGGGCUCCUCUACUCACUAAUUCAGUUAACGUUAAAUUUUGUUUAUCGGACCUACGAAAAUCUCUAAUAAAAUUCAACAAAGGAUUGCGAAAUACUUCAGAUGGGAUUCUUCUGGCGGGACUUCGUUUUAUAUGAGAAUCGUCAUGACUUUUAAGGUGUUUUAUUCAUUUUUACAGUAAUUUUCUCAAUUUAAACAUUUAUAAGUGAAGUGACAUUUGAUAUAAAUCAUUUUUUUUUUUUUUAUUUCUAAACUACAUUGGUGUCGACGGGUUUGUGUGGUGGUGUAUGAAAAUACACGGACCCAGAAACUAGCCCAAUAUCACUCAAAGUGAAAAAUGGAGUUAGCAGGUUAAAACUCUUAUCCAAGGUUAUGUUAAUUUAUUCGUUUAUAACGAUAAGUUCCACUUCUACCAGUUUCAUCUCUUUUUAUCUCACAAGUUAAUAUGUUUUCCAUAUUUUGCGUUAUUUUGCCGGUUAUUAGUGUGAGUGCUCAUUACUGUAUAUUUACGAUUCUGCGAUUUCUCAAUAUGAUGCUGAGUAGGUAUAGAUCUAAGUAGGUAUAUAGUAGGUAUCUACAAUCCUUUCAAAACAGAAAUUUAUAAGUUCAUUUUAUGUACCUAUUAAACUUUAUUUUAAGGAUGAAUUUGAAAUGCUUGUAGGGAAUAUAUCUGUAAAAAAUAAAAUUGGUAUUGUAAAAUUGAAAUUCUCAAAAUAUAAUUUAUAAUUCGAA